RNAcentral lists this ribosomal RNA (108 nucleotides) under Triticum aestivum (bread wheat). RNAcentral's name for it is "partial small subunit ribosomal RNA". Lineage: Eukaryota; Viridiplantae; Streptophyta; Magnoliopsida; Poales; Poaceae. The record is from RNAcentral.
CGAUAUGGAAUUCUAUUUACUCAAUUUAAGUUGAGUAUUCGUUUCCCUCCUUUUCCAGCCUGGAUCGAAAAUCCUGUAUUUUCAAUAUCCAUACAAUCGAGUCCUUAG